This 796-nucleotide ribosomal RNA is filed under the name Triticum aestivum (bread wheat). Its description in RNAcentral is "partial small subunit ribosomal RNA". The record is from RNAcentral. Lineage: Eukaryota; Viridiplantae; Streptophyta; Magnoliopsida; Poales; Poaceae.
UCUCUCUCCACGCUGGAAACCCACCCCGGCUCCAACCCACCCCGCACGAUCUCGUCGGUCCAACCCACCCCGGCUCCUCUCCCCACGAUCUCCUCGCCGCCGCCCCCACCCACGCCGGCCGGUUCCGGCGAGCACCGGCCGUGCGCAACACCCCACCUCCUCCUCCUCCCCCUCCCUUCCCCUUCCUCCUCUGCCCGCCUCUUCUCUCUCCUCCUUCCUCCCGGCGGCCGGCGAUGGGCGCGGACGAGGAGGAGCACCAGUACCCCGUGCGGAAGCGCGAGCGCGAAGAGGGGGAGGAGCCCGCGGCCGCCGACGAGAAGCGCCCACGCACGGCGGACGAGUCAGAGGGCGUUUACCAGGAGAGGCCGCCCCGAAGCCUCUCGCCGCCGGAAACCCUCGCCGCCCAUCUCCACCGGAGCACCGGCGAGAAACCGUCCUCCUCCCUGGCAAUGGAUAAAAUCUACUCUGGAUAGUUGACAGAGGGAGUACAAGCUAAGUUGACUUUUUUCCCGCGGAUUUGCUUAUCGUGAAGAUGCUAGCAAGGAUGCAGAGGGAGCGGAUCAUUUGGAGAGAUAGGAUGCGACUGUUUGGUGUUUUUAUGCAUUUUGUUUUGCUUGUAACUGUGUUUGCACUAGCUGGGAGUAAGUGACUUCAAAAAGUGUAGGUGUUUUAAUUGAAGGCAUGAAAAGCCAUGACAAUAUGUAUACUCUUACAGGAUGUGUUCUAAUGCCGCUGGUUUAUUAUAAAUCUUGGAUUAGUAAUGAUGUGUAAUGCUGCUGGUUUAUUGCAAAUAUGU